RNAcentral lists this ribosomal RNA (257 nucleotides) under uncultured Stenotrophomonas sp. Its description in RNAcentral is "partial 16S ribosomal RNA". It matches the Rfam family "Bacterial small subunit ribosomal RNA", at positions 96 to 355 of the family's 1533-position model. The record is from RNAcentral. Lineage: Bacteria; Pseudomonadati; Pseudomonadota; Gammaproteobacteria; Lysobacterales; Lysobacteraceae.
UGGCGGACGGGUGAGGAAUACAUCGGAAUCUACUCUGUCGUGGGGGAUAACGUAGGGAAACUUACGCUAAUACCGCAUACGACCUACGGGUGAAAGCAGGGGAUCUUCGGACCUUGCGCGAUUGAAUGAGCCGAUGUCGGAUUAGCUAGUUGGCGGGGUAAAGGCCCACCAAGGCGACGAUCCGUAACUGGUCUGAGAGGAUGAUCAGUCACACUGGAACUGAGACACGGUCCAGACUCCUACGGGAGGCAGCAGCC